This 433-nucleotide ribosomal RNA is filed under the name uncultured bacterium. RNAcentral's name for it is "partial 16S ribosomal RNA". It matches the Rfam family "Bacterial small subunit ribosomal RNA", at positions 29 to 507 of the family's 1533-position model. The record is from RNAcentral.
AGCGAACGCUGGCGGCAGGCCUAACACAUGCAAGUCGAACGAACUCUUCGGAGUUAGUGGCGGACGGGUGAGUAACACGUGGGAACGUGCCUUUUGGUUCGGAAUAACUCAGGGAAACUUGUGCUAAUACCGAAUGUGCCCUUCGGGGGAAAGAUUUAACGCCAUUAGAGCGGCCCGCGUCUGAUUAGCUAGUUGGUGAGGUAACGGCUCACCAAGGCGACGAUCAGUAGCUGGUCUGAGAGGAUGACCAGCCACACUGGGACUGAGACACGGCCCAGACUCCUGCGGGAGGCAGCAGUGGGGAAUCUUGCGCAAUGGGCGAAAGCCUGACGCAGCCAUGCCGCGUGAAUGAUGAAGUUCUUAGGAUUGUAAAAUUCUUUCACCGGGGACGAUAAUGACGGUACCCGGAGAAGAAGCCCCGGCUAACUUCGUG